UUCUUCAAAGUAUGACCAACAGGGAUUGCCCUAGUAACGGCGAGUGAAGCGGCAACAGCUCAAAUUUGAAAUCUGGCCUUCGGGUCCGAGUUGUAAUUUGUAGAGGAUGCUUUUGGCGCGGUGCCUUCCGAGUUCCCUGGAAUGGGACGCCUUAGAGGGUGAGAGCCCCGUAUGGUUGGACACCAAGCCUCUGUAAAGCUCCUUCGACGAGUCGAGUAGUUUGGGAAUGCUGCUCUAAAUGGGAGGUAAAUUUCUUCUAAAGCUAAAUAUUGGCCAGAGACCGAUAGCGCACAAGUAGAGUGAUCGAAAGAUGAAAAGCACUUUGAAAAGAGGGUUAAAUAGCACGUGAAAUUGUUGAAAGGGAAGCGUUUGCGACCAGACCUUUUCGUAGCGGAUCAUCCGGUGUUCUCACCGGUGCACUUCGCUUCGUUUAGGCCAGCAUCGGUUUCUGUAGGGGGAUAAAAGCUUGGGGAACGUAGCUCCCUCGGGAGUGUUAUAGCCCCUCGCAUAAUACCCUUACGGGGACCGAGGACCGCGCUUUAUGCAAGGAUGCUGGCGUAAUGGUCGUCAACGACCCGUCUUGAAACACGGACCAAGGAGUCGAACAUUUAUGCGAGUGUUUGGGUGUUAAACCCUCACGCGUAAUGAAAGUGAACGGAGGUGAGAGCCCUUACGGGUGCAUCAUCGACCGAUCCUGAUGUCUUCGGAUGGAUUUGAGUAAGAGCAUAACUGUUCGGACCCGAAAGAUGGUGAACUAUGCGUGGAUAGGGUGAAGCCAGAGGAAACUCUGGUGGAGGCUCGCAGCGGUUCUGACGUGCAAAUCGAUCGUCAAAUCUGCGCAUGGGGGCGAAAGACUUAUCGAACCAUCUAGUAGCUGGUUACCGCCGAAGUUUCCCUCAGGAUAGCAGUGUUGUUCUUCAGUUUUAUGAGGUAAAGCGAAUGAUUAGGGACUCGGGGGCGCUUUUUAGCCUUCAUCCAUUCUCAAACUUUAAAUAUGUAAGAAGCCCUUGUUACUUAAUUGAACGUGGGCAUUCGAAUGUACCAACACUAGUGGGCCAUUUUUGGUAAGCAGAACUGGCGAUGCGGGAUGAACCGAACGCGGGGUUAAGGUGCCGGAGUGGACGCUCAUCAGACACCACAAAAGGUGUUAGCACAUUUAGACAAUAGGACGGUGGCCAUGGAAGUCGGAAUCCGCUAAGGACUGUGUAACAACUCACCUAUCGAAUGUGCUAGCCCUGAAAAUGGAUGGCGCUCAAGCGUCCCACCCAUACCUCGCCCUCAGGGUAAAAACAAUGCCCUGAGGAGUAGGCGGCCGUGGGGGUCAGUGACGAAGCCUACGGCGGAGUCUCGGUUGGUG
RNAcentral lists this ribosomal RNA (1357 nucleotides) under Xylaria grammica. RNAcentral's name for it is "eukaryotic LSU rRNA". It matches the Rfam family "Eukaryotic large subunit ribosomal RNA", at positions 43 to 1432 of the family's 3401-position model. Lineage: Eukaryota; Fungi; Ascomycota; Sordariomycetes; Xylariales; Xylariaceae. The record is from RNAcentral.